This 69-nucleotide transfer RNA is filed under the name Marmota monax (woodchuck). It matches the Rfam family "tRNA". Rfam says of the family: Transfer RNA (tRNA) molecules are approximately 80 nucleotides in length. The record is from Rfam by way of RNAcentral. RNAcentral also lists the same sequence under 1 other name. Lineage: Eukaryota; Metazoa; Chordata; Mammalia; Rodentia; Sciuridae.
GGGGCUGUGGCUCAGUGGUAGAGCGCUUGCCUGGCAUGUAUGGGGCACUAGGUUUGAGCCUCAGCACCA